This 66-nucleotide transfer RNA is filed under the name Staphylinidae sp. BMNH 1274245. Its description in RNAcentral is "tRNA-Ser". Lineage: Eukaryota; Metazoa; Arthropoda; Insecta; Coleoptera; Staphylinidae. The record is from RNAcentral.
AGUUUAUGAACUUGUAUAAGUAUAUAUUUUGAAAAUAUAAAAAAGAAGUAGAUCUUCUAUAAACUU